This 1686-nucleotide ribosomal RNA is filed under the name Triticum aestivum (bread wheat). Its description in RNAcentral is "partial small subunit ribosomal RNA". Lineage: Eukaryota; Viridiplantae; Streptophyta; Magnoliopsida; Poales; Poaceae. The record is from RNAcentral.
AUGGGCAACUCGUGCCACGGCUCCAUCGUUCCCGCGGCCGGUGACGGCCGCCACCACUACCGCACCAGCUGCAGCAGCUCCGACUGGGACUCCGACUCCUCCUCCCCCGUCGUCGACCGCGCGCCGCACCGCAACACCAUCAUGGGCCGCGGCGCCGGCCACCAGCACCAGCUCUCCUCCCCGACGGCCGUGAUGGGCCACCAGACCCCGCUCCUGCGCGACCUCUACAACGUCGGCCGCAAGCUCGGGCAGGGCCAGUUCGGCACCACCUACCUCUGCACCGAGAUCUCAACCGGCGUGGACUUCGCCUGCAAGUCCAUCGCCAAGCGCAAGCUGCUGACCCCGGAGGACGUGGAGGACGUGCGGCGCGAGAUCCAGAUCAUGCACCACCUUGCCGGCCACGACAGCGUGGUCACCAUCAAGGGCGCGUACGAGGACGCGCAGUUCGUGCACAUCGUCAUGGAGCUCUGCGAGGGCGGCGAGCUCUUCGACCGCAUCGUCCAGCGCGGAUACUUCUCCGAGCGCCGCGCCGCCGAGAUCGCCCGCGUCAUCGUCGGCGUCGUCGAGGCCUGCCACUCGCUCGGGGUCAUGCACCGCGACCUCAAGCCCGAGAACUUUCUCUUGAAAGACAAGGAGGAGAAUAACAACAACAACAAUGGCUCCGGCAAUAGUGUUAAUGAACCGGCGGGCGACAAGGUCAACCUCAAGGCCAUCGACUUCGGCCUCUCCGUCUUCUUCAAGCCCGGCCAGAUCUUCACCGACGUCGUGGGCAGCCCCUACUACGUCGCGCCCGAGGUGCUCUGCAAGCACUACGGCCCCGAGGCCGACGUGUGGACCGCCGGCGUCAUCGUCUACAUCCUGCUGUCCGGCGUGCCGCCCUUCUGGGCCGAGACGCAGCAGGGCAUCUUCGACGCCGUGCUCAAGGGCGCCAUCGACUUCGACUCCGACCCGUGGCCCAACAUCUCGGACGGCGCCAAGGACCUCAUCCGGAAGAUGCUCAAGUCGCCGCCGGCGGAGCGGUUCACGGCGCACCAGGUCUUGUGCCACCCAUGGAUCAUUGAGAACGGCGAGGCCCCCGACGCGCCGCUGGACCCUGCCGUGCUCUCCAGGCUCAAGCAGUUCUCGGCCAUGAACCGGUUGAAGAAGAUGGCUUUACGUGUGAUCGCGCGCGGGCUGUCAGAGGAGGAGUUGGCCGGGCUCAAGGAGAUGUUCAAGACCAUGGACACAGACGGCAGCGGUGCCAUCACAUUCGAGGAGCUCCGGGAGGGGCUGCGCCGUUACGGGUCCACAGAGCUCAGGGACUCGGAGGUGCGGGACCUCAUGGAGGCAGCUGACGUGGACAACAGCGGCACCAUCGAUUACGACGAGUUCAUCGCCGCCACCGUGCACAUGAACAAGCUGGACCGCGAGGAGCACCUCAUGGCGGCCUUCUCCUACUUCGACAAGGACGGCAGCGGGUACAUCACCGUCGAUGAGCUGGAGGUGGCGUGUCGCGAGCACAACAUGGCCGACGUCGGCAUCGACGACAUCAUCAGGGAGGUCGACCAGGACAACGAUGGUCGGAUCGACUACGGGGAGUUCGUGGCCAUGAUGAAGAAGGGGAUCAUCGGCAACGGCAGGCUUACCAUGAGGCACACCUCCGACGGUAGCAUCCUCCAUGGAGCAGGCAGCGGCCUCAGCAGCUAG